GAUGACGAGGCACUACGGUGCUGAAGCAACAAAUGCCCUGCUUCCAGGAAAAGCCUCUAAGCAUCAGGUAACAUCAAAUCGUACCCCAAACCGACACAGGUGGUCAGGUAGAGAAUACCAAGGCGCUUGAGAGAACUCGGGUGAAGGAACUAGGCAAAAUGGUGCCGUAACUUCGGGAGAAGGCACGCUGACACGUAGGUGAAGUGAUUUACUCAUGGAGCUGAAGUCAGUCGAAGAUACCAGCUGGCUGCAACUGUUUAUUAAAAACACAGCACUGUGCAAACACGAAAGUGGACGUAUACGGUGUGACGCCUGCCCGGUGCCGGAAGGUUAAUUGAUGGGGUCAGCGCAAGCGAAGCUCCUGAUCGAAGCCCCGGUAAACGGCGGCCGUAACUAUAACGGUCCUAAGGUAGCGAAAUUCCUUGUCGGGUAAGUUCCGACCUGCACGAAUGGCGUAAUGAUGGCCAGGCUGUCUCCACCCGAGACUCAGUGAAAUUGAACUCGCUGUGAAGAUGCAGUGUACCCGCGGCAAGACGGAAAGACCCCGUGAACCUUUACUAUAGCUUGACACUGAACAUUGAGCCUUGAUGUGUAGGAUAGGUGGGAGGCUUUGAAGUGUGGACGCCAGUCUGCAUGGAGCCGGCCUUGAAAUACCACCCUUUAAUGUUUGAUGUUCUAACGUGGACCCGUGAUCCGGGUUGCGGACAGUGUCUGGUGGGUAGUUUGACUGGGGCGGUCUCCUCCUAAAGAGUAACGGAGGAGCACGAAGGUUGGCUAAUCCUGGUCGGACAUCAGGAGGUUAGUGCAAUGGCAUAAGCCAGCUUGACUGCGAGCGUGACGGCGCGAGCAGGUGCGAAAGCAGGUCAUAGUGAUCCGGUGGUUCUGAAUGGAAGGGCCAUCGCUCAACGGAUAAAAGGUACUCCGGGGAUAACAGGCUGAUACCGCCCAAGAGUUCAUAUCGACGGCGGUGUUUGGCACCUCGAUGUCGGCUCAUCACAUCCUGGGGCUGAAGUAGGUCCCAAGGGUAUGGCUGUUCGCCAUUUAAAGUGGUACGCGAGCUGGGUUUAGAACGUCGUGAGACAGUUCGGUCCCUAUCUGCCGUGGGCGCUGGAGAACUGAGGGGGGCUGCUCCUAGUACGAGAGGACCGGAGUGGACGCAUCACUGGUGUUCGGGUUGUCAUGCCAAUGGCACUGCCCGGUAGCUAAAUGCGGAAGAGAUAAGUGCUGAAAGCAUCUAAGCACGAAACUUGCCCCGAGAUGAGUUCUCCCUGAGACUUUAGGUCUCCUGAAGGAACGUUGAAGACGACGACGUUGAUAGGCCGGGUGUGUAAGCGCAGCGAUGCGUUGAGCUAACCGGUACUAAUGAACCGUGAGGCUUAACCUUACA
Molecule: ribosomal RNA, 1387 nt
Filed under: Salmonella enterica
Lineage: Bacteria; Pseudomonadati; Pseudomonadota; Gammaproteobacteria; Enterobacterales; Enterobacteriaceae
Description: partial 23S ribosomal RNA
Rfam family: Bacterial large subunit ribosomal RNA
Source: RNAcentral